RNAcentral lists this ribosomal RNA (321 nucleotides) under uncultured eukaryote. Its description in RNAcentral is "partial 18S ribosomal RNA". It matches the Rfam family "Eukaryotic small subunit ribosomal RNA", at positions 1470 to 1796 of the family's 1831-position model. The record is from RNAcentral.
CCCUUAGAUGUUCUGGGUCGCACGCGCGCUACACUGAUGAACGCAACGAGACCACCUGUACCGAAAGGCAUGGGUAAACUUGUGAAAGUUCAUCGUGAUGGGGAUAGAUUAUUGCAAUUAUUAAUCUUCAACGAGGAAUUCCUAGUAAGCGCGAGUCAUCAGCUCGCGUUGAUUACGUCCCUGCCCUUUGUACACACCGCCCGUCGCUCCUACCGAUUGAAUGGUCCGGUGAAAUCUUCGGAUUGCUGGAUAGGACUUCAUUGACCUAUCUGCGAGAAGUUGCUUGAACCUUAUCAUUUAGAGGAAGGAGAAGUCGUAACA